Molecule: ribosomal RNA, 392 nt
Filed under: uncultured bacterium
Lineage: Bacteria
Description: partial 16S ribosomal RNA
Rfam family: Bacterial small subunit ribosomal RNA
Source: RNAcentral
AUACGUAUGUCGCAAGCGUUAUCCGGAUUUAUUGGGCGUAAAGCGCGUCUAGGCGGCUUAGUAAGUCUGAUGUGAAAAUGCGGGGCUCAACCCCGUAUUGCGUUGGAAACUGCUAAACUAGAGUACUGGCGAGGUAGGCGGAACUACAAGUGUAGAGGUGAAAUUCGUAGAUAUUUGUAGGAAUGCCGAUGGGGAAGCCAGCCUACUGGACAGAUACUGACGCUAAAGCGCGAAAGCGUGGGUAGCAAACAGGAUUAGAUACCCUGGUAGUCCACGCCGUAAACGAUGAUUACUAGGUGUUGGGGGUCGAACCUCAGCGCCCAAGCUAACGCGAUAAGUAAUCCGCCUGGGGAGUACGUACGCAAGUAUGAAACUCAAAUGAAUUGACGGGG